UACAGAGGUCUCAAGCGUUGUUCGGAUUCAUUGGGCGUAAAGGGUGCGUAGGUGGCGCGGUAAGUCGGGUGUGAAAUCUCGGAGCUUAACUCCGAAAUUGCAUUCGAUACUGCCGUGCUUGAGGACUGGAGAGGAGACUGGAAUUCAUGGUGUAGCAGUGAAAUGCGUAGAGAUCAUGAGGAACACCAGUGGCGAAGGCGGCUCACUGGCCCGGUACUGACGCUGAGGCGCGACAGCGUGGGGGAGCAAACAGG
Molecule: ribosomal RNA, 254 nt
Filed under: uncultured bacterium
Lineage: Bacteria
Description: partial 16S ribosomal RNA
Rfam family: Bacterial small subunit ribosomal RNA
Source: RNAcentral